GAGGCAACGAGCUCUCUUUGCUGCGUGUCCAUUGAGCAGUGGAGUGGUCGCAUCAAAAAGAUCCGUGUGGUGAGGAGGAGAAAGGAAAGUUGGAAGCACCGAGAGGCGGAAGAAAGCCAAGAGUGUGAAGGGACUGCGGCAAGAGCGGAGCCCUGCGCGGCGGCAUCUGGGGGUUGCCUGGGGCUUUCGGAGCCUCAAUGACGCCUGGUCACGGAUUCCAAAACGGGGAGCCACGGGAGGGCCGCACACCGCCGCUUGUGCACCGGGAAGGCAGGGGCUGAAGAAUCCCUGCGAUGACAUCGAAGCGGCACACACACACGCUGACACACAAGCGCUGCAAAACAGGCACUCCUACUCGGGGACACGCGGUCAACAAUAUGGUGUGUUUCCGGAGCACUCAUGCUCGCUUGACUCUCGAGAGGAGAAGCUGGGAGACGGGGGUUCGCCCCUGUCUGCUGGAGAGGAGCGAGAGGGGGAAAUUCUUCUUGUAUUUGGACACCAGAGGGGCAUCAAAUUAAAGACGCUCCGGAAAAGAAGCACUGCAAAAUCUCCACCGCCUGUGCGCCGCACGAUAGUUAACGUGAUCACAAUAGGAAGAUGCACAAUAAAGGAUUUCAAGCAGCGAAUGUAUGCAUUUGGGCAGCCGACGUCCAUCUUGUUCUGUUGUAGCCUCGCAGCUGAACGCGACUUGGAGUUGCCGCUUCCCUUUGGCAUCCAAUGAAGUUCCAGCGUGCCACGGUUGUCAUCAUGUAUGGAAUGGAGGGAGACCCUCUCACAUUCAUGGGAUGCCCAACGCUUGCUCAGUAGUCAGUGUAGAUCCUGUGGGGCUGACAGCAGCUACAUCUGGCUACUGGGUCUCCGUUGGCCAUCUGAGGAUGCUUUUGAAGGUUUAUCUCGUGACCGAGCUCCCAUUAAACAUACUAUAUGGGCUGAAUGUCAAUGCUCAAGUAACUGAGGGAAACAUUUGGGGUAAUUUCUGGACCUGGCAUACAGUGUAGGACUCUGUGUGUCAGUCUACAGCUACAUUGUCUGCUGGGUUUCAGACAUUACUUUGCACAGGUGCUAUUUUCAGUGCUUCCACUUUUAGUUGUGAGAAAAAUGUCCGAAAUUGGAGGAAGCGGAGGCAGUUGCAGAUGAUUUGACAACUUUGUGUUUAUUGACUCAUAAAACAUUCUUCAAACAAUAAAACAAUUUUAAAUGUC
Long non-coding RNA from Hippocampus zosterae (dwarf seahorse), 1202 nucleotides. RefSeq lists it as uncharacterized. The transcript is spliced from 4 exons. NCBI's taxonomy places the organism in Eukaryota, Metazoa, Chordata, Actinopteri, Syngnathiformes, Syngnathidae. The record is from RefSeq and is a predicted model, not a curated record.